GCCAGGUGUGGUGGUGGGCACCUGUAAUCCCAGCUACUUGGGAAGCUGAGGUAGGAGAAUCACUUGAGCCCAGGAGGCAGGGGUUGCAGUGAGCUGAGAUGGUGCCACUGCACUCCAGCCUGGGCAACAGAGUGAAAAUCCAUCUCAA
Molecule: unclassified non-coding RNA, 148 nt
Organism: Macaca mulatta (Rhesus monkey)
Lineage: Eukaryota; Metazoa; Chordata; Mammalia; Primates; Cercopithecidae
Rfam family: Metazoan signal recognition particle RNA
About the family: The signal recognition particle (SRP) is a universally conserved ribonucleoprotein. It is involved in the co-translational targeting of proteins to membranes. The eukaryotic SRP consists of a 300-nucleotide 7S RNA and six proteins: SRPs 72, 68, 54, 19, 14, and 9.
Source: Ensembl